GAUGAAGAACGUAGCGAAAUGCGAUAAGUAAUGUGAAUUGCAGAAUUCAGUGAAUCAUCGAAUCUUUGAACGCACAUUGCGCCCCCUGGUAUUCCGGGGGGCAUGCCUGUUCGAGCGUCAUUUCACCACUCAAGCCUUGCUUGGUAUUGGGCAACGCGGUCCGCCGCGUGCCUCAAAUCGACCGGCUGGGUCUUCUGUCCCCUAAGCGUUGUGGAAACUAUUCGCUAAAGGGUGUUCGGGAGGCUACGCCGUAAAACAACCCCAUUUCUAAGGUUGACCUCGGAUCAGGUAGGGAUACCCGCUGAACUUAAGCAUAUCAAUAAGCGGAGGA
RNAcentral lists this unclassified non-coding RNA (331 nucleotides) under soil metagenome. Its description in RNAcentral is "partial contains 5.8S ribosomal RNA, internal transcribed spacer 2, and large subunit ribosomal RNA". The stretch from base 1 to 120 matches the Rfam family "5.8S ribosomal RNA", at positions 35 to 154 of the family's 154-position model. The record is from RNAcentral.